CACAUGACUCUCGGCAACGGAUAUCUCGGCUCUCGCAUCGAUGAAGAACGUAGCGAAAUGCGAUACCUGGUGUGAAUUGCAGAAUCCCGCGAACCAUCGAAUCUUUGAACGCAAGUUGCGCCUGAGGCCACUUGGCUGAGGGCACGCCUGCCUGGGCGUCACGC
This 164-nucleotide ribosomal RNA is filed under the name Poa apiculata. Its description in RNAcentral is "5.8S ribosomal RNA". It matches the Rfam family "5.8S ribosomal RNA". From Rfam's summary of the family: 5.8S ribosomal RNA (5.8S rRNA) is a component of the large subunit of the eukaryotic ribosome. It is transcribed by RNA polymerase I as part of the 45S precursor that also contains 18S and 28S rRNA. Lineage: Eukaryota; Viridiplantae; Streptophyta; Magnoliopsida; Poales; Poaceae. The record is from RNAcentral.